Molecule: ribosomal RNA, 433 nt
Filed under: uncultured bacterium
Lineage: Bacteria
Description: partial 16S ribosomal RNA
Rfam family: Bacterial small subunit ribosomal RNA
Source: RNAcentral
AACGAACGCUGGCGGCAUGCCUAACACAUGCAAGUCGAACGAGGCCUUCGGGUCUAGUGGCGCACGGGUGCGUAACGCGUGGGAACCUGCCCUUAGGUUCGGAAUAACUCCCCGAAAGGGGUGCUAAUACCGGAUAAUGUCUUCGGACCAAAGAUUUAUCGCCUUUGGAUGGGCCCGCGUUGGAUUAGCUAGUUGGCAGGGUAAAAGCCUACCAAGGCGACGAUCCAUAGCUGGUCUGAGAGGAUGAUCAGCCACACUGGGACUGAGACACGGCCCAGACUCCUACGGGAGGCAGCAGUGGGGAAUAUUGGACAAUGGGCGAAAGCCUGAUCCAGCAAUGCCGCGUGAGUGAUGAAGGCCUUAGGGUUGUAAAGCUCUUUUACCCGGGAUGAUAAUGACAGUACCGGGAGAAUAAGCUCCGGCUAACUCCGUG